Molecule: transfer RNA, 73 nt
Filed under: Trachymyrmex cornetzi
Lineage: Eukaryota; Metazoa; Arthropoda; Insecta; Hymenoptera; Formicidae
Rfam family: tRNA
About the family: Transfer RNA (tRNA) molecules are approximately 80 nucleotides in length. Their secondary structure includes four short double-helical elements and three loops (D, anti-codon, and T loops).
Source: Rfam by way of RNAcentral
AAUGCGGUGAUCUAAAGGCUUAGGAUGCUCGCCCGGAAUGCAAGAGAUCCGGGUUCGACUCCCGGCCGCGCCG